UGAGGAAUAUUGGUCAAUGGACGCAAGUCUGAACCAGCCAUGCCGCGUGAAGGAUGAAGGCGUUCUGCGUUGUAAACUUCUUUUAUCUGGGAAGAAACCUCUGUUUUCUAAUAGAGCCGACGGUACCAGAGGAAUAAGCACCGGCUAACUCCGUGCCAGCAGCCGCGGUAAUACGGAGGGUGCAAGCGUUAUCCGGAUUUACUGGGUUUAAAGGGUGUGUAGGCGGGUCUAUAAGUCAGUGGUGAAAUCUCCGGGCUCAACCCGGAAACUGCCAUUGAUACUAUAGGUCUUGAAUAUUGUGGAGGUGGGCGGAAUGUGUCAUGUAGCGGUGAAAUGCUUAGAGAUGACACAGAACACCGAUUGCGAAGGCAGCCCACUACGCAACUAUUGACGCUGAGGCACGAAAGCGUGGGGAUCAAACAG
Molecule: ribosomal RNA, 423 nt
Filed under: uncultured bacterium
Lineage: Bacteria
Description: bacterial SSU rRNA
Rfam family: Bacterial small subunit ribosomal RNA
Source: RNAcentral